GGGGGCGGAGGGGGCCUGGUGGUCCUCCUGGUCUUCAAAACCAGUGCGCCCUGACCAGGUCAGGGUGGGUGGGUUCGACUCCCACACGCUCCCGCCA
This 97-nucleotide transfer RNA is filed under the name Gemmatimonadaceae bacterium. RNAcentral's name for it is "tRNA-Sec". It matches the Rfam family "Selenocysteine transfer RNA". Lineage: Bacteria; Pseudomonadati; Gemmatimonadota; Gemmatimonadia; Gemmatimonadales; Gemmatimonadaceae. The record is from RNAcentral.